This 25192-nucleotide long non-coding RNA is filed under the name Triticum aestivum (bread wheat). RNAcentral's name for it is "long non-coding RNA (TAES_LNC014546)". Lineage: Eukaryota; Viridiplantae; Streptophyta; Magnoliopsida; Poales; Poaceae. The record is from RNAcentral.
AUGGAAAAAUAAAGAAUUUGACAAUAGAUAGCCUCCAGUCUAAAAUUGUAAUUUUGCACGCACUUUGGAGCUAUUGGAUGCCUGAAAAUAUCGGUCCUCAUGUAAUCUAACCGUUACACCUCUUGAAUCCAAUUAGGAACUCUUUCAUUAUUGGUUAUAAAGUGUUUGAUUUGGUCAGUUAAUACUCCCUCUGUUCAUAAAUAGAAGAUAUUUUAGAGACAAGCUGCAUAUUUAAUGAAGCAUCCACUUGCUGUAGGAAGCAUGUUUUAUGGUUCUGUACCAGGUAAGGUGUUUAGUAACCUAUUUAACAAUGCUUUCCAGCUUCUUUCCAUGUUCUAACAUACUUCAUGUGUUGUGUAAUAAUCUACUGAUGGCCAGUUACAACUCCAUUUCACUAUGGACACUGCAUAUGAUGUUCUUUAUUCUCAGCAAAGCAAACAUCUCAUUUGUUUCUCAUACUAUUAUCUACAAAAAACUAGGCGUUGCUGAAGCUGGAGUCAUGAUGGCAUUAGUAAUCUUGGUGAUGCUUCUUAUAUGGCAAACCAAUUUGUUUUUGAUUAUCCUAUGGGUUAUUUAUCCAGAUGUUGCAUAUAGGAGUAUUGUGGAGCUAAUAAUAUUUGAAUCUGAGCUAGCAUACUAUUUCAAUUUGACUUCAAAAAUUAUAAAUCUUAGUAUUUGUUUUCAGAAGGGGAGCCUUGGCGCAGUGGUAAAGCUGCUGCCUUGUGACCAUGAGGUCACGGGUUCAAGUCCUGGAAACAGCCUCUUGCAGAAAUGUAGGGAAAGGCUGCGUACAAUAGACCCAAAGUGGUUGGACCUUCCCCAGACCCUGCGCAAGCGGGAGCUACAUGCACUGGGGCUGCCCCCCCCUUUAGUAUUUGUUUUCAGUUAUCAAUCUUCUUCCCUUCUCCUUUUUUGGGUCACUUUUGAUAGCUUCUUUCAUUUUGUACAUUUUACUUGCUGCCUCAAGCCUUGGCUCUUUUUCUAGACUAGGCCUCAAUUUAUGGGAAAAUACAGUCUUCAUUUACUGAGUUAUAUUUUUGUCUUGGUUUCUUCCAGGUCCCUCGUACAGUGGUUCAGAAAAAAAACCUAUCCAAUGGAGAUGAUGCAUGAGGAGCGGCAAAGUCAUGAUCCAUAAAGCCCUAUGUUAUUCUUUUUCUCACUGUGAUUUUACUUUUUAUGGUUGGAUGCCAAGUAGCCAAGCAGACGCUUUUUGGUAGAUUAGUUGCUUAGUUUCAUAAGUUGAACUGCGUUGUCGAGUGCAGUGUGUAGGCUCUUUCUCGAUUGCUCAGCAGGCGUCAACGCGGCACAUGUGGAGGUUGUGAGAGUUGUGAAUGGCACCGGUCUUGUCAUACUUAUGAGCAGGAGCAUGGGCCACAUUACUCUUCAUGCCACUCUAAGCAGCCGAGAUGUUGACUGCUGGUUGAGAUUGAUUUCCACGUUGAAUGGAAGGGAGACCUAUUUGAGUUCCUAUAUGAAAGGGUAAAGAAGAAGGGGCAUGUUGUUGUGGUUGUUGCUGAAGGCGUUGGUCAAGAGUUGAUUACCUGGACUGAUGACCAGAACCGAGAGCGGGAUGAGUAUGUCAACAUGUUGUUCUUUGACAUUGGCCUUAAGUUUACAUGCAACUCUCCUCCAUGUUUACUCAUUUCUGUUACCGUUGUUGUAUCAAAACAAUUGUAUUUUUGUUGAUGGCCGCUUGGGCUCAUUUUCAAGGAGAAUGAGAUGUGGGAUAAACUACUCUGAAAUGUUUAGUUCCCUUCAAACAAUUUAUUAGCUAACUAAGUUUGACUGCUGUUGCGCAUCGUAUAAUUGUACUCUGAUGUUGCCAUCUUGCCUUUUAUGUACACAAUCACUUAAACUCUUAUCGUAUGUAUUUGCUCAAACAUAGUUACUAAAAAAAUGCAAAUAUUUUUAACAAGUACAUGGUUUUAAAUGGGACUCUGCGCCAUUUGUCACAAUGGGUCAUGUUAUACAAAUAUAAUUUUUUGGCGCAACGGGUUAUACAUUUUUUUCAAACUUGGAUCUCGCAAUGUGAUAAGAGAUUUUCAAAAUAGCAUGGUUUAACACAUGAGCUUUGUACUACGAGUAUCGAAUAUGCCCUUGCUAAAUGAAACUCGUUUCAUCGACAACAUGACUUUAGCGCGUCUCUGCGCCAUUUGGCGCAAUGGGUCAACUAGUAUAUAUAUAAGUCAUGAAGAAAGCAAUAGCAAUAAAGCUAAACUAUCAUAAUGCUAAGCUAAUGGAUGGGUCUUGUCCAUCACAUCAUUCUCUAAUGAUGUGAUCCCGUUCAUCAAAUGACAACACAUGUCUAUGGUCAGGAAACAUAACCAUCUUUGAUUAACGAGCUAGUCAAGUAGAGGCAUACUAGGGACAUUCUGUUUGUCUAUGUAUUCACACAUGCACUAAGUUUCCGGUUAAUACAAUUCUAGCAUGAAUAAUAAAAAUUUAUCAUGAUAUAAGGAAAUAUAAAUAACAACUUUAUUAUUGCCUCUAGGGCAUAUUUCCUUCAGUCUUCCACUUGCACAAGAGUCAAUAAUCUAGAUUACACAGUAAUGAUUCUAACACCCAUGGAGUCUUGGUACUAAUCAUGUUUUGCUCGUGAGAGAGGCUUAGUCAACGGGUCUGCAACAUUCAGAUCCGUAUGUAUCUUGCAAAUCUCUAUGUCUCCCUCCUUGACUUGAUUGCAGAUGGAAUUGAAGCGUCUCUUGAUGUGUUUGGUUCUCUUGUGAAAUCUGGAUUCCUUCGCCAAGGCAAUUGCUCCAGUAUUGUCACAAAAUAUUUUCAUUGGACCCGAUGCACUAGGUAUUAAACCAAGAUCGGAUAUGAACUCCUUCAUCAGGACUCCUUCAUUUGCUACUUCCGAAGCAGCUAUGUACUCUGCUUCACACGUAGAUCCUGCCACGACACUCUGCUUGGAACUGCACCAACUUACAACUCCAGAAUUCAAAAUAAAUAUGUAUCCGAUUUGCGGCUUAGAGUCAUCCGGAUCAGUGUCAAAGCUUGCAUCGACGUAACCAUUUACGACAAGCUCUUUGUCACCCCCAUAAACGAGAAACAUAUCCUUAGUCAUUUUCAGAUAUUUCGGGAUGUUCUUGACCGCUGUCCAGUGAUCCACUCCUGGAUUACUUUGGUACCUCCCUGCUAAACUUAUAGCAAGGCACACGUCAGGUUUGAUACACAAUAUUGCAUACAUGAUAGAACCUAUGGCUGAGGAAUAGGGAAUGACUUUCAUUUUCUCUCUAUCUUCUGAAGUGGUGGGCAUUGAGUCCAACUCAACUUCACACCUUGUAACAUAGGAAAGAACCCUUUCUUUGACCGAUCCAUUUUGAACUUCUUCAAAAGUUUAUCAAGGUAUGUGCUUUGUGAAAGUCCAAUUAAACGUCUUGAUCUAUCUCUAUAGAUCUUGAUGCCCAAUAUAUAAGCAGCUUCAUCGAGGUCUUUCAUUGAAAAUUCGUAUUCAAGUAUCCUUUUAUGCUAUCCAGAAAUUUUUGUAUUAUUUCCAAUCAACAAUAUGUCAUCCACAUAUAAUAUUAGAAAUGCUACAGAGCUCCCACUCAUUUUCUUGUAAAUACAAGCUUCUCCAAAAGACUGUAUAAAACCAUAUCCUUUGAUCACACUAUCCAAGCGUAUAUUCCAACUCCGAGAGGCUUGCAGCAAUCCAUAAAUGGAUCGCUGGAGCUUGCACACUUUAUUAGCACCUUUAGGAUCGACAAAACCUUCUGGUUGCAUCAUAUACAACUCUUCUUUAAGAAAUCCAUUAAGGAAUGCAGUUUUGGCAUCCAUUUGCCAAAUUUCAUAAUCAUAAAAUGCGACAAUUGCUAACAUGAUUCGGACAGACUUAAGCAUCGCUACGUGUGAGAAGGUCUCAUCGUAGUCAACUCCUUGAACUUGUCGAAAACCUUUUGCAACAAGUCGAGCUUUAUAGAGAGUAACAUUACCGUUAGCGUCAGUCUUCUUCUUGAAGAUCCAUUUAUUUUCUAUGGCUUGCCGAUCAUCGGGCAAGUCAACCAAAGUCCACACUUUGUUCUCGUACAUGGAUCCCAUCUCAGAUUUCAUGGCCUCAAGCCUUUUCACGGAAUCUAGACUCAUCAUCGCUUCCUCAUAGUUCGUAGGUUCGUCAUGGUCAAGUAACAUGACCUCCAAAAUAGGAUUACCAUACCACUCUGGUGCGGAUCAUACUCUGGUUGACCUACGAGGUUCGGUAGUAACUUGAUCUGAAGUUUCAUGAUCAUCAUCGUUAGCUUCCUCACUAAUUGGUGUAGGAAUCAAUGGAACUGAUUUCUGUGAUGAACUACAUUCCAAUUCUGGAGAUGGUACAAUUACCUUAUCUAGUUAUACUUUCCUCCCACUCACAUCUUUUGAGAGAAACUCCUUCUCUAGAAAGGAUCCAUUCUUAUCAACGAAUAUCUUGCCUUCGGAUUUGUGAUAGAAGGUGUACUCAACAGUCUCCUUUGGGUAUCCUACGAAGACACAUUUCUCUGAUUUGGGUUCGAGCUUAUCAGGUUGAAGCUUUUUCACAUAAGCAUCGCAGCCCCAAACUUUAAGAAACAACAGCUUAGGUUUCCUGCCAAACCACAGUUCAUAUGGUGUUGUCUCAACGGAUUUAGAUGGUGCCCUAUUUAACAUGAACGCGGCCAUCUCUAAACCAUAACCCCAAAACGAUAGCGGUAAAUCGGUAAGAGACAUCAUAGAUUGCACCAUAUCUAAUAAAGUACGGUUACGACAUUCGGACACACCAUUACGCUGUGGUGUUCCAAGUGGCGUGAGUUGUGAAACUAUUCCAUAUUGUUUCAAAUGAAGACCAAACUCAUAACUCAAAUAUUCACCUCCACGAUCAGAUCGUAGAAACUUUAUUUUCUUGUUACGAUGAUUUUCCACUUCACUCUGAAAUUCUUUGAACUUUUCAAAUGUUUCAAAAUUAUGUUUCAUUAAGUAGAUAUACCCAUAUCUGCCCAAAUCAUCUGUGAAGGUCAGAAAAUAACGUUACCCGCCACGAGCCUCAACACUCAUCGGACCGCAUACAUCAGUAUGUAUUAUUUCCAAUAAGUCAGUUGCUCGCUCCAUUGUUCCGAAGAACAGAGUCUUAGUCAUCUUGCCCAUGAGGCAGGGUUCGCAAGCAUCAAGUGAUUCUAAAAGCCCAUAAGCAUGGAGUUUCUUCAUGCGCUUUACACCAAUAUGACCUAAAUGGAAGUGCCACAAAUAAUUUGCACUAUCAUUAUUAACUUUGCAUCUUUUGCCUUCAAUAUUAUGAAUAUGUGUAUCACUACAAUUGAGAUUCAAUAAAAAUAGACCACUCAUCAAGGGUGCAUGACCAUAAAAGAUAUUACUCAUAUAAAUAGAACAACCAUUAUUCUCUGAUUUAAAUGAAUAACCGUCUCACAUCAAACAAGAUCCAGAUAUAAUGUUCAUGCUCAACGCUGGUACCAAAUAACAAUUAUUCAGGUCUAAAACUAAUCCCGACGGUAGAUGUAGAGGUAGCAUGCCAACGGCGAUCACAUCGACUUUGGAACCAUUUCCGACAUGCAUUGUCACCUCGUCCUUAGCCAAUCUUCGUUUAAUCCAUAGCUCAUGUUUUGAGUUGCAAAUAUAUGAAACACAACGAGUAUCAAAUACCCAGGCGCUACUAUGAACAUUAGUAAGGUACACAUCAAUAACAUGUAUAUCAAAUACACCUUUCACUUUGCCAUCCUUCUUAUCUGCCAAAUACUUGGGGCAGUUAUGCUUCCAGUGACCAGUCCCUUUGCAGUAGAAGCACUGAGUUUCGGGCUUAGGUCCAGACUUGGGCUUCUUCCCGGGAGCAGCAACUUGCUUGCUAUUCUUCUUGAAGUUCCCCUUCUUCCCUUUUCCCUUUUUUCUUGAAACUAGUGGUCUUGUUAACCAUCAACACUUGAUGCUCCUUCCUGAUUUCUACCUCCGCAUCCUUUAGCAUCGCAAAGAGCUCGGGAAUUGUCUUUUCCAUCCAUUGCAUAUUAUAGUUCAUCACGAAGCCUUUAUAGCUUGGUGGCAGUGAUUAAAGACCCCUGCCAAUGACACUAUCAUCAGGAAGAUUAACUCCCAGCUGAGUGAAGUGGUUAUGGUACCUAGACAGUCUGAGUAUGUGUCCACUGACAUAACUAUUCUCCUCCGUUUUGCAGCUGUAGAACUUGUUGGAGAAUUUAUAUUUUUCAACUUGGGCAUUUUCUUGAAAUAUUAACUUCAACUCCUGGAACAUCUCAUAUGCUCCAUGAUGUUCAAAACAUCUUUGAAGUCCCGAUUCUAAGCCGUAAAGCAUGGCACACUCAACUAUCGAGUAGUCAUCAACUUUGCUCUGCCAGACGUUCAUAACGUCUGGAGUUGCUCCUGCAGCGGGUUUUGCACCUAGUGGUGCUUCCAGGACGUAAUUCUUCUGUGCAGCAAUGAGGAUAAUCAUCAAGUUAUGGACCCAGUCCGUGUAGUUGCUACCAUCAUCUUUCAACUUAGCUUUCUCUAGGAACGCAUUAAAAUCAAGGGAACGGUAGCACGGGCCAUUGAUCUACAACAACAUAGAUAUGCAAAAACUAUCAGGUACUAUAUUCAUGAUAAAUUAAAGUUCAAUUAAUCAUAUUACUAAAGAACUCCUGCUUAGAUAGACAUCCCUCUAGUCAUCUAAAUGAUCAUGUGAUCCAUAUCAACUAAACCAUGUCCGAUCAUCACGUGAGAUGGAGUAGUUUUCAAUGGUGAACAUCACUAUAUUGAUCAUAUCUACUAUAUGAUUCACGUUCGAACUUUCGGUCUGAGUGUUCCGAGGCCAUAUCUGCAUAUGCUAGGCUCGUCAAGUUUAACCCGAGUAUUUUGCACGUGCCAAACUGGCUUGCACCCGAUCAUCACGUGGUGUCUCGGCACGACGAACUAUAGCAACGGUGCAUAUUGUGACACCCCCGAUUCAAUCAUACACUAAUCAUAUACACAAACAUGUACGAUCAAGAUCAGGAACUCACGGGAAGAUAUCACAACACAACUCUACAAAUAAAAUAAGUCAUACAAGCAUCAUAUUACAAACCAGGGGCCUCGAGGGCUCGAAUACAAGAGCUCGAUCAUAGACGAGUCAGCGGAAGCAACAAUAUCUGAGUACAGACAUAAGUAAACAAGUUUGCCUUAAGAAGGCUUGCACAAACUGGGAUCCAGAUCGAAAGAGGCGCAUGCCUCCUGCCUGGAAUCCUCCUAAACUACUCCUGGUCAUCGUCAGCAGCUUGCACGUAGUAGUAGGCACUGUCGUGGAUCUAAGACUGACAGUAGAAUGGGGGGUAGGUACGAGGAGGCAAGAUCCUAGCUAUGGCAAAGUUGCACACACGAGUUUACGAGUUCAGGCCCUUCGCGGAGGAAGUAACGACCCUACGUCUCGGUGCCCGGAGGCGGUCGACUGGAUUAUGUAUGUGUGUGUUUUACAGAGGGUGCGAACCCUUGUGCCAGUGGAGGGGGGUGGCUUAUAUAGAGUGUGCCAGGACCCCAGCCAUCCCACGUUACAAAGGAUUUAAAGUACAUUAAGAAAGAGGCAUUACUGGUAACGCUAGCAAUUAAGUGAUAUAAACACCUAUUAAGUCUAUGAAAUAAACUUCCGACCGUUGCCAUGCAGAGUGACUUUAGAUCUUCUGCUGUCGAGUGAUAAUUGCUGUGGUCGAGUGACUUUGAAUCUUCCGGGUGGAACGGCUUGUAGUCGAUUGGAUGAUGCUAUCCCUUGAAUGCUUCUGGUUUUAAGAUGGUGUCCUAGGGGAAGGUGUCUAGGUCAGGCCCAUGACCCUACCCUAGGUACAUAGCUUCAUCAUUAGCCCCCGAAUAGUUCAGGGUUUGAAUGGAGAAGGAGUUGAGAGCACCUCCGAUUCAAUUUUCGCGCUUCAAAAGCGCCUUAUGGGGACCAAAUGAACAACCAUGAUGACAACAACUUCUUUUUUAGUCGCCUUGAUCCAUUCUUGGUUCUGCCGAGUGAACUUUACUGUGAUGUCUUGAGUACUGAUAUGAAAUAAAUCUUCCGCCUGACAGGUUGCCCUGCUGCUCGCGGAUAUCAUGGGAUUCGUAUUUUGGGGAAGCGCGCGGGACGGAGGAGGCCGCAGUAAUCAGAUGGGAUUAGGCGAGGCCGCCUCGAUCACCGUGCCACCUUUUUCGCCACGUACCUCACACACGACUGUUGCGGGAUUUUAUAGGAUCGUCCGUACCCACAGGUUAGUCACUCGGAAGCGGCCUCAGAUAAGGUGCCAGAUUGGGGUUUUGUGGACAACGCGUCCCCAUUCUCCUCCUUUCUCUUCUACUCUCUCCGCCAUACCCACUUCUGCUCCCGAUGUCACUGCUCCCUUCGAGUUUUGCCCGCGACCAUGGGGAAGGAGAAGAUGGUGGCUCUAGAGUGUGCGAAGAAGGCGACGACGAAGGUGAAGGGGAAGAAGUCCAGCUAGGGCGGAUCUUCAUCGAGUUCCUGUCUGCCGCACAGCUGGAUCCAGGGCGACUGGAUCCGGUCGAUGAUCAGUUAGGACGACAUCGACGAUCUGGUCGAGGGGGGGGGGCUGAUUCCCCACGAAUCGGCGCGGCUCUCGGAAGGCGAGACCGAUCCGCAUCCGCGAGAGGGUGAGUGCGUUCUCCUCGCCACCCAUGUUAACCGUGGAUUUUCUCUGCCUCCCCAUCCUUUUUUCCGGGGAUUGUUGAACUUCUUUGGAGCACAACCCCACCACUUUACUCCCAACACCAUCAUAUAUCUCGCCGCCUAUGUGUCCAUGUGCGAGAACUUCUUAGGUUGUAGGCCACACUGGGGUCUUUUCUAGCACAUUUUCACGUGUCGUUCCCAGUCGGUCAAGAAGGCCAACCCGAGUGACGAGAGGACACAUGUGAUUCAGAUGUGCGGGGGUCUUGGGAUUCAAAUGAGAGUUAAAAGCACUUUCCCAGCCAUGAUCCUUCCUAAGUCAGUCCGAGGAUGGCAGUCGACCUGGUUUUAUUGCAAAGACCAGCCGACUCUAGGUCAGUCGACCGGACUUCCUGCUUUCUCCAUGGCUCGGGUCGAGAAGCCCUCAGCCUUGAAAGUGAUCCCAGAGGAGAGGGCGUAGGUGAAGGUGUUGGUCGAGCGGGUGGUCCAGCUCGUCCGGGAUGGCGUGACCGGUAUGGAUCUGUUAGAGGUCUUCCUUAAACGAGGCAUCCAGCCGCUCCAAGCCCGUGACCAUCCGAUGUGGAUGUACUCAGGUAUUGAGGAUUCCACUCGGAUCCACCCGGAGGAGGUCGACGAGGACACGGUGGAGAAGUGGCUGAAAGGCAUCACUGGCAAUAAGGAUAACCCCAGGGGGUCCAGGAGAGUCGCUCCAUUCGACAAUUUGCGCCAGCCAGACCAGGUCCGACUUUGGAUUGCCGAGUGUUUUCUUGAUUUAUCAUGUAAUCGCUUGUUGACAACCGACUAAUUUUUGCUUCGCUUGUUAUCUUUCAGGCCCUUACUGAGAUGUACUCGAUGCCCAACAGAGAGCAGGAGCAGGAUCCAGAGGGGGAAGCGAGCGGGGGCGAGAGCAGCAAAUGGCACUCUGAGGAGGAGGAGGACGAGAAGAGUGACGACCCAAGUGAUGAAGAAGAGGUCAACUCGCCUCCUCAUAGAGAAAAAAGAUCCAAGCACACUCACGACCCAGCAAGCAUCCAUGACAAAGCGACCGCACCGACUGGGCAGUCGUCGAAGCGCCCCCGGACGUCUUCUCCAGUGCCGACUGAGAGGGCACCGAAGCAACCGAAAGUUGCAUCGUCUCCAGCGUUGAAACAACCGAAGGAUGCGUCAUCCAAACCGCCGAAGGCUUUGCCCAAGAUCAAAGUGGCCAUUCCUACUAUCUCUGGGUAAUAAUCAAACCCGAUUCUUUGGUUGACUCACUGCAACAAACGUGACCGACUGAAUAUUGAAAUUUGCAGAGCUGCUACCUCCGGGACUUCCACCCACAAGUACGAAGACGAAGAGAUGGAAGAUGCAGUUACCUCCAACCCAGGUACAACUCUCGUAAUCCUGUCCUUCGUUACUUGGUCGAUUAAAUUCUGACGACUGAUCUGGGGUCGACUGAUUUCUUUGCAGCCCCUCCUAAUAUCAUUGAGCUUCCUGAUGAUGACGAGGACGUGCCGCCGAGGCCCAGAAGGAACAAGAAGGUGUCAGUUGGCAAGGAAUCCCAAUCAUAACCGGCGGCAGAACCAGAAGUUCGACAACUUGAAGAUCUGAGCAGGGUUUCUGUUACUUUUGCCGAUCCAAUGUCGAGUGUAUGCCUCACAUCGUCGACUGUGCCGAUGCCUUCUUCAACCGUCCAACUUCAUAACUCAGAACUUCAAACUGCUGUGUCUGGACUGUCAGUCCCGUUCUUCACUACCCAUCACAUUCCAGAAAGCCAGGCGGACGCCGCUGCAGAAGCCAUUCGCCAGGCUGGUAUAAUGAUGGAGCGGGUGAAGGUGGUGCACGAAAACAGUCAGGCUGCUUGUGACGCCAGCGCGGCCCUUCGAGCUAAUGUCCAAGCAAGUUGGCCUCCGACUGAACUUAUUCUGUUAGGAUAUGCUACCUGAAUAAUUUUUCUCCGUGUAAUCUCUUGUUGUCCUACACUUUGCAUCUGCACACCCACUGGGUGUUUUGUCAUCUUUUUUGUUUUCACUCUUCCACUCAGUCUAGGCGGACCGUGUUGAGUGGAAUCUGAACCAGUGGGGGCACGCUAAGUGCACCCACUAGGUGUAGUCCCCGAGACCACAGUCAACUGCUGGCAGUCGGUUGGGGUCUGAACACUUCUUUCUCUUUUUGUUUCCACUCGGUCUAGGCGGACCGUGUCGAGUGGAAUCUGGACCAAUGGGGGCACGCUAAGUGCACCCACUGGGUGUAGUCCCCGAGACUACUGUAGAAUGUUUGAUUCUGCGGUAGUCUUUAAAAUUUUAUUCACUCGGAGGUAAAUAAUCUUUGAUCUUGUUCACUGACACGUCUUUUACUUAUUGCAAAAAUCCUGUGCGCCUAUCUCCAAAUUCGUUGAAUUCGAGGAAAAGCAGAGGCAACUCAACCUUGACUUAGAGCUAGCCCGGCAGAACUUAAAAAAGGCUCAAGAUGAAGUUGCCGGUACGGAAGGUAACGGCCUGUCGACUACUUAUCUCGACCAUCCUUCAAGUUAUCCCUUCGUUCUUCUGUUUGACCCAAAUGUGUGUUUCGCAGAGAAAAUGAGGCUGGCUCUGGAGAAGGACCUCGACCUUGCAGCUGCGCAAAAGGAGGCUCAGGAGAAGACUACCCUUGCUGACAAAAAGUUGGCUUCGGUUGGAUCGCUAGAGGAGGAAAUAACCAAGCUGAAGUCUUCUCUUACUAAAUCCAACCGAGAGGCGACUCGUCUGAAGAAGGAUAAGGUGACUCUGAACGAGCAGCUGGAAAGCAUGUCUCAUAGGAGAAACGACUUGGAAGCUUAUCUGAAAGCCCCCACCAAGAAGCUCUUCCUUAUGCUCGAAGGUACCCCCUUUUAUCCGACCGUUUCACUGUUUGCAGGUCACUGCGGACCAGUCGACUCAUUAACUCCUUGAAUCUGCAGAAUUCUGCCAAAACUUUGAAGAGGAAACUGGGCGGGUCGAGACGGGCUUGGAUCCCAUCCUUUCUCCAGUCGGCAAUGAGGCUGCCAUGAAUGUGCUUCGACUGGAAUCUCGUGUUGCUAGUGUUACCAGUUAUCUUGCUCACUUGAAGGUAGCGACGUCACGCAUUGACACAUCACUCUGGCCAAGGGCAACGCUUCAGAAUGAUCUUGAGUCUCUAAUGACUCGACUCAAUGAGGUUCCUGGUCGAGUGCAGGAAUGGAAGAAGUCUUCUACCCGAUGCGGUGCUGACGUGGCCCUGUCGUUGGUUAGGGUCCACUGCAAAGAAGCACGAGAAGAGAAGUUGGCGGCGAUCAAGGUUGCUAACACCAAAAGACACGACUUCCAAUCCUUCAUGGAGACUUUCAUUGAUGCUGCCACUCGGAUCGCUUACGGGAUCAAUCUGGAUGAGUUCGUCGAUCCUGCAAGCCCUCCUCCUGCGGAGUGAACAAACUUGAUACCUCGCCUUAAAUUUGCCUCGGAAUGCCGAGUGAUUUUGUAACCGUUAAACUCCUUCGGGCCUGAUGCCCGAGUACUUUUAUCUUCGUCCUGAAACUUUUAAGAUUUUAACCGAACUUGGUUUAUAUUCUGCAUGUGCUUGCGUUUGCCUUCGAGUGGAACUUGUUCUUCACUCAGAAUAUUCUUUGAACUUGAGAUGCAAUUCUAAGGGAGAUAUCACAGUCGACCUGCACCUCGUCGUCCUUGCGGAUAGGUAUGGAGCGCAUGUUGUACUUGUGGCGCAGCUCCAAGGAGAGGGUUGUAGUCGACCUGCACCUCGUCGUCCUUGCGGAUAGGGAUGGAGCGCAAGUUAUACUUGUGGCACAGUUCCGAGGAGAGGAUUGUAGUCGACCUGCACCUCAUCGUCCUUGUGGAUAGGGAUGGAGCACACGUUGUACUUGUGGCGCAGCUCCGAGGAGAGGGUUGCAGUCGACCUGCACCUCGUCGUCCUUACGGAUAGGGAUUUUUUUCAAACUUAGGUGAGUAUUGGACUAUAGCUAAGCCCCCGAGUGUGAGGUUUGCUCAUCGCUCGGUAGGAUUUUUUUAAACUUAGGCGAGUACUGGACUACAGCUAAGCCCCCGAGUGUGAGGUUUGCUCAUCACUCGGUAGGAUUUUUUAAACUUACGCGAGUACUGGACUGCAGCUAAGCCCCCGAGUGUGANNNNNNNNNNNNNNNNNNNNNNNNNNNNNNNNNNNNNNNNNNNNNNNNNNNNNNNNNNNNNNNNNNNNNNNNNNNNNNNNNNNNNNNNNNNNNNNNNNNNNNNNNNNNNNNNNNNNNNNNNNNNNNNNNNNNNNNNNNNNNNNNNNNNNNNNNNNNNNNNNNNNNNNNNNNNNNNNNNNNNNNNNNNNNNNNNNNNNNNNNNNNNNNNNNNNNNNNNNNNNNNNNNNNNNNNNNNNNNNNNNNNNNNNNNNNNNNNNNNNNNNNNNNNNNNNNNNNUUAGGUGAGUACUGGACUGCUGCUAAGCCUCUGAGUGAGAGGCUUGCUCACCACUCGGUAGGAUUUUUCAAACUUAGGCGAGUACUGGACUGCAGCUAAGCCUCCGAGUGUGAGGCUUGCUCACCACUCAGUAGGAUUUUUCAAACUUAGGCGAAACGGAUUCACAGCUAAGCCCCCGAGUGAGAGGCUUGCUCACCACUCGGUAGGACUUUUCAAACUUAGGCGAGUAUUGGACUGCAACUAAGCCUCCGAGUGAUAGGCUUGCUCACCACUCGGUAGGAUUUUUCAAACUUAGGCGAAACGGAUUCGGAGCUAAGCCCCCGAGUGAGAGGCUUUCUCAUCACUCGACGGGAUUUGUUAAACUUAGGCAAAACGGAUUUGCAUCUAAGGCACCCACUGGGGGAUUUAGAACAUAAACAUAAAAGAGAACAAUGAUUAUUUAUGAGACUGUAAAACCGUGUCUUUGAUAAUCAAACUAAGGGAUACUUCUUAUUACAUCUCAAUAGUCUGAAUGCUUAAGUGUAAAAGGGUGGAGCAACUCUGCAUUCCAAGCGCGUGGCUCGUCUUUCUUAUGCUCGACGUUGUAGAGGUGGUACGCUCCGUUGUGGAGCACUCUGGUAAUGAUGAAAGGACCUUCCCAAGUAGGGGCGAGCUUGUGUGGUUUCUGCCGAUCCACUCGAAGAACCAAAUCUCCUUCCUGAAAUGCUCGAUCGCUCACGUUUCUGGCGUGAAAUCGACGCAAGUCUUGCUGAUAAAUGGUCGAUCGAAUCAGAGCCAUCUCUCUUUCCUCUUCUAGGAGAUCAACUACGUCUUGCCGAGCCUGUUGUGCUUCAUCUUCUGAGAAAAGCUUGACUCUGGGUCCAUUGUGAAGCAAGUCACUCGGAAGCACAGCUUCAGCUCCAUAGACUAAGAAGAAUGGUGUUCGACCAGUCGACCGAUUUGGAGUCGUCCUCAAACCCCAAAGUACUAAUGGAAGUUCAUCGACCCAGGCGCCUGCCGCAUGCUUGAGGUCACACAUCAGUCGGGGUUUCAGUCCUUUGAGGAUUAAUCCGUUUGCUCUUUCAUCUUGUCCAUUCGACUGGGGAUGGUCGACCGAUGCAUAGUUGACUCGAGUGCCUUGGGAAGCACAGAAGGCUCUGAACUCAUCCGAAUCGAAGGUCGAGCUGUUGUCAGUGAUGAUGCUAUGCGGAACACCAUAUUUGAAUGUUAACUCUCUGAUGAAACUGACCGCAGUACUGGAUUCAAGACUUUUGAUAGGUUUGGCUUCAAUCCAUUUGGUGAAUUUGUCGACUGCCACGAGUACAUGAGUGAAGCCGCUCCUACCCGUUCUUAGAGGUCCAACCAUGUCCAAACCCCAAACAGUGAAGGGCCAGGCAAGUGGAAUGGUCUUCAGGGCUGACGCAGGCUUGUGAGACAUGUUGGAGUAAAACUGGCAGCCUUCACAUUUGUCAACUAUUUCUUGUGCCAUCUCAUUUGCCCGUGGCCAAUUAUAUCCUGCUCGGUAUCCUUUGGCUACAAUGGUCUGAGAGGACGCAUGGUGACCAUAGGUCUCCGAGUGGAUGUCGUUGAGGAUCACUCGACCUUCCUCUAGUGUUAUGCAUUUCUGGCUGACUCCAGUUAGACUUUCUUUGAACAACCGCCCUCUUAUCACAGUAAAAGCUUUGGAUCGGCGGACGACCUGCCGGGCCUCUUCUUCGUCCUCUGGUAGUGCCUUCCUGAGGAUGUAUGCAAUGUACAGCACUGUCUAGUGGGGAGUGAUGACCAAAACCUCCAUGAUCAAGUCGACCACGGCCGGGACUUCGACUUCAGUCGGAUCAGCGGUACUCUUUGGCUACGGGGGCUCUUCAGUGAAAGGAUCUUCCUGGACUGAAGGUGUAUGAAUAUACUCCAAAAACACAUUACUGGGAAUGGCUUCUCUCUUAGAACCUAUCUUUGCCAAAUCAUCCGCUGCUUGAUUUUUCAGUCGGGGUAUAUGGUGGAGUUCUAAACCCUCGAACUUCUUUUCUAACAUUCUCACCGCAUUGCAGUAGCCAGUCAUAGCUGGGCUUCUGACGUCCCACUCCUUCACUACUUGAUUCACCACCAAAUCUGAGUCGCCGUAGACCAUGAGGCGACGGACGCCGAGUGAAAUGGACAUACGCAACCCAUACAAAAGUGCCUCAUAUUCAGCUUCGUUGUUGGAGGAAUCGAAAUGAAUUUGGAGAACAUAGCAGAGCUUGUCGCCUCAGGGGGAUACCAAUACCACCCCAACAACAGAACCAUUCAACAUCUUGGAUCCAUCGAAGAACAUGGUCCAGUGGUCCAAGUGAAUCUGAGUCGACAGUUGCUGUUCGAUCCACUCGGCGAGGAAAUCCACUAUUGCCUGGGACUUGAUAUCUUUCUUUGCCUCAAACUUGAUAUCCAAGGGAAGGAGUUCAAUCGCCCAUUUUGCCACUCGACCAGUUGCAUCUCUGUUGUUCAAAAUUUCCGACAAUGGGGCGUCGCUGACGACUGUAAUGGAGUGAUCGGAGAAAUAACGUGCAACCCUCUUCAUGGUCAUGUAAAUCCCAUAAACAAGCUUCUGAUAAUGUGGAUAUCUUUUCUUGGAUGGAGUUAAAACUUCCAAAACAUAAUAUACUGGGCGUUGAACUUUAUAGGCUUUUCCUUCUUCUUCCCGCUCGACCGUGAGUACUAUACUGACAACUUGUCCAGUGACUGCAAUGUAAAGCAGUAAAGGCUCUUUGCUGAUUGGGGCAGCGAGCACCGGCUGGGUGGAAAGCAAGGCUUUGAGAUCUGAAAAUGCCGCAUCAGCUUCAGGAGUCCACUCGAACUUGUCAGAUUUCUUCAUCAGUCGGUAAAGAGGCAAUGCCUUUUCACCGAGGCGAGAAAUGAAUCCACUCAAGGCGGCCAAACAACCAGUAGGCUUCUGGACAUCAUGCACGCGCACAGGGCGCUUCAUCCGGAGUAUGGCACCAACUUUCUCUGGGUUCGUGUCGAUCCCUCGUUCGGAAACGAGGAAGCCGAGUAACUUUCCGCCAGGAACUCCGAAAGUACACUUUGAUGAGUUAAGCUUGAUAUCAUAUCUUCUCAAGUUGGCAAAGGUUUCAGCAAGGUCAGUCAGCAGGUUGGAACCUUUGUGCGACUUGACCGCAAUGUCAUCCAUGUAUGCUUCCACAUUCCGAUUGAUUUGAGUGAGCAGACACUUUUGAAUCAUCCUCAUGAAUGUGGCCCCAGCGUUCUUGAGACCAAAUGGCAUGGUGACAUAACAAAAACACCCGAAUGGAGUGAUGAAAGCUGUUUUUAUCUCAUCGGGUCCAUACAGUCAGAUCUGAUGCUACCCGGAAUAGGCGUCUAGGAAAGACAAACGCUCACACCCCCUAGUCGAGUCAAUAAUUUGGUUGAUACAAGGGAGAGGAAAAUGAUCUUUCGGGCAGGCCCGAUUGAUAUGCUGGAAGUCAAUGCACAUGCGAAGUGAGUCGUCCUUCUUGGGGACCAUAACAACAUUGGCGAGCCACUCGGAGUGGUAAAUCUCGUGGAUGAACUCAGCUGCCAGGAGCCGAGCCACUUCCUCACCAAUUGCUUUUCUCUUCUGUACGGCGGACCGUCGAAGAUGUUAUUUGACUGGUUUUACUUUCGGGUCGACUUGCAAACGAUGCUCAGCCAGUCCCCUGGGUAGACCCGGCAUGUCAGAAGGUUUCCAUGCAAAGAUGUCCGAGUUCUCACGGAGGAACUGGAUGCGCGCUUCUUCCUAUUUGAUGUCGAGUGAAGUUGAAAUAUGAGUAGGAGCAGCAUUAGGAUCAGUCGGGUGAAUAUGAAUCGACUUGGUUUCACCAGACGACUAAAAUGCAGAAUCAGUGGCAGGCUUCUUGGAGCGCAGCAAAUCACUCGGAUCUGCAUUUUUCUGGUAUUCUUGCAUUUCGACUGCCGCCAUUUGUGCAUCAGCAAUUUUUGAGCCCUUCUGGAAGCACUCUUCUGCUUUCUGCCAAUUUCCAGUGAUAAUGAUCACUCCUCUGGGACUAGGCAUUUUCAAUUUGAGGUAUACGUAACAUGGUCGAGCCAUGAAACGUGCAUAGGCAGGCCUACCCAGAAUGGCAUGAUAAGCACUCUUGAAAUCUACCACUUCAAAUGUCAACUUUUCUUUGCAGUAAUUCUUGGAAUCGCUGAAAACCACAUCAAGGGCGAUCUGGCUGAGUGAUUCAGCCUUCUUGCCGGGUAUAACGCCAUGGAAACUCAUAUUACUUUCGCUGAGCUUGGAUAUCGGAAUCCCCAUUCCCUUCAAGGUUUCAGCAUAAAGGAUAUUCAGGCCGCUACCACCAUCCGUCAGCACUUUAGUCAGUUGAGUGCCUUCAACAACUAGGUCGACCACCAACGCUUGCCUCCCAGGGGUGGCUAUACGUGCUGGAUGGUUAGACUGGUCGAAUGUGAUGGUAGUCUGGGACCACUUCAAAUAACUUGGUGUUGCUGGAGCAACCAUGUUCACUUCUCCGUUGAUAACUUUCAAUCGACUUUUGCUCUCAACAUCAGUGAAAAUCAUCAGAGUGGAGUUGACGUUAGGGAAACCGUCAUCAUCCUCUUCCUUGUCCUCAUCCUUGUCCGACUCCUUUUCCUUCUCUUUGGGUUGCUUCUCUCGGAAUUGCUGGAUCAGGAGUCGACACUGUUGAGUGGUGUGCUUGGGAUAAAUCAAAUUACCCUCUUCAUCUUUCUUGGUGUGAAUGUGACAUGGCAAAUCCAACACAUCAUUUCCGUCUUGAUAUUUCACUUUCUUGGGAUUCCAGGACCCUUUGGGCUUUCCCUUGAACUUUCCUUGAGCCACAACUAAGGCCUCACCAGGAGCAACUAGCUCGGCCUUACGCUUCUGUUUCCGAUUGGAAGUACCUCCACCGGUGUCCUGGGCGACUGUUUUGUGCUUGCCACUCUGGAGUCGGCCUUCCUCUUCGUCGUUAGAGUAUUUGGUUGCAAUCUCCAUCAUCCGAGUCAGAGUCAUAUCUCCUGUCCGACCGAAUUUCAGAUUCAACUCUCGAUACUUAACGCCUUCCUUGAAGGCACAGAUUGCUUGGUGAUAUGACACAUUUUCCACUGUAUGGUGUAAUGUGAUCCAUCUCUGUAUAUAAUAUCUCAAGGUUUCAUUCGGUUUCUGUACACAACACUGCAAUUCUGUCAAUCCUGUCGGUCACUUGCAAGUACCUUCAAAAGUUCUAACAAACACUCUAGCGAGUUCUUCCCAACUGUAUAUGCUACCAGGUGCUAGUUGGUUCAGCAACGCCCUGGUCGAGCCAUCUAGCAUGAGAGGGAGGUGCUUCAUUGCCACUUCAUCAUUGCCACCACCAAUUUGCACAGCCACUCGGUAAUCUUCAAGCCAAGUGUCAGGCUUAGACUCACCGGUGAACUUGCUGACUCCAGUCGCCAACCUGAAGUUGGGAGGAAUCACUGCAGCCCUGAUGGCUCUGCUGAAACACUCGGGAUCGGAAACGUGCACUCUGCUGCCAGUUGGAUAAUCUCUGUCAUGACCUUCUCUAUGCGCUCUAUUCCUGUCAACCAGACCUUUAACGAGAAUAGAUCUCGCAUCAAAGCGUGGCUCUCUUGGGUCGACUGGUACUCUUCGCUCCCCACUGUGGGGGCGCCUGUCAUCCUGCCGCUGAGGCACGUAUGACCCACUCCUCGGAGGAGGUGUGGGCACUCGAUGAUGGUCAUCGUGGCCGAGUCGGUGAUCAUACUGCUCGCGGUUUCUGUACUGAUCCUGCCGGUGCCCACGUCCCUCACGCCGUGGAGGCGAUCUUGGGCUGUGAGCUGACAGGAUUGUGUCUGCCACCACAGACCUGCUAUGGAUCCUACUCCGCGACUGAGAUACUACUGUAUUCUACUCUCCAGCUACUCGAAGCAAGGCUCGGAUCUGCAUCAAACCCCUGUCUGCCUCCGACUGGGAAGGCUGGAUUGACUCUGCUAUUCGGGCUGCGGCUGUGAGAUUUUGGAUCGGAGUGCGGUAUACCUAAGUUUGAGGUGGAAAAAGCUGUCAUCGACAGGAUUCAGGGAUCUGUUGCCGAGCACGUUCGUCGAGUGCAUGCUGUAGGUUCUCCAGUCGAGUGCGCUCAGCCAAGUUGGCCAGGCGCGCUUCCUCCAGGGCCUGGGCCUUGGGGGUUUCUCCAACGAUAGGAGUGUGAAGUGCAUCCAUGUUGCGGCGGCGAAGCUCUUCCCUCCGCUAUGAAGAAAGGGGCUCGGGGAGGCACUCCUCGUGAACACGCAACGGAUCGCCGCCACCAUCGCCACCGUCGUUGCGGGGGAAGCCAGGAGGACUGGGUGGUCCGUCGACCAUCAAGACUUCUGCCGCGGGAUCGCCGUUGUCGCAUUCGGAUGCGGUCUCGACGGAGCCAAUCGAACAGGCCAUAGAGAGAUUCGUCUGGCUCAAUGGCCGCGACAUGUGAGAUGGCCGACUGGUGGGCCACUGCAUGCCUCACCCACCGCUGGAGCCGCGACCGACCGGAACGCUUGUGCCGGCGAGUGGCGGGGGAUGAAGACACCACAGGAACCGACCGAAACUGGGUCGACGGUUACCGGAGAAGGACGCCACGGAUGCACGCGUGAAAGUGCGUCGCCCCAUGGACGAGGAGCGCAUCGACGUCGAGCGGAGCUUCCUGGAGCCAGGUGGAGUCGUCGGUGAUGAACACGAGCGCACCGAGAUAGAUCUUGCGGCCCUCAACUAGUCCGCCGACGGAAACCAUGACAAUGAGAAUUGGAAAAAAUUGCAACUCCACCAGAAAGUCGCUAAGACACCUACCCCAUGGUGGGCGCCAACUGUCGUGGAUCUAAGACUCACAAUAGAAUGAGGGGUAGGUAUGAGGAGGCAAGAUCCUAGCUAUGGCGAAGUUGUACACACGAGUUUACGAGUUCCGGCCCUUCGCGGAGGAAGUAACAGCCCUACGUCUCGGUGCCCAGAGGCGGUCGACUGGAUUAUGUAUGUGUGUGUGUUUAUAGAGGGUGUGAACCCUUGUGCCAGUGGAGGGGGGGUUGCUUAUAUAGAGUGCGCCAGGACCCCAGCCAACCCACGUUACAAAGGGUUUAAAGUACAUUAAGAAAGAGGCGUUACUGGUAACGCUAGCAAUUAAGUGAUAUAGAUGCCUAUUAAGUCUAUGAAAUAAACGUCCGACCAUUACCGUGCAGAGUGACUUUAGAUCUUCUGUCGUCGAGUGAUAAUUGCUGUGUUCGAGUGACUUUGAAUCUUCUGAGUGGGACGGCUUGUAGUUGAGUGGAUGAUGCUAUCCCUCAAAUGCUUCUGGUUUUAAGAUGGUGUCCUAGGGGAGGGUGUCUAGGUCAGGCCCAUUACCCUACCCUAGGUACAUAGCUUCAUCAGGCACCUCCGGAGUAGUAGUAGUCGUCAUCGACAGUGGCGUAUGGCUCCUAGACUCCAACAUCUGGUCGCAACAAUCAGAUAUAGAAAGGGGGUAAAGGGGGAGCAAAGCAAUCGUGAGCACUCAUCCAAAGUACUCGCAAGCAAGGAGCUACACUACAUGUGCAUUAGUAUCAAUGAAAGGGGGUAGUAUAUGUGGACUGAACUGCAGAAUGCCGGAAUAAGAGGGGGAUAGCUAGUCCUGUCGAAGACUACGCUUCCGGCAGCCUACAUCUUGUAGCAUGUAGAAGAGAGUAGAUGGUAAGUUCACCAAGUAGCAUCGUAUAGCAUAAUCCUACCCGACGAUCCUCCCCUCGUCGCCCUGUGAGAGAGCGAUCACCGGGUGUAUCUGGCACUUGAAAGGGUGUGUUUUAUUAAGUAUCCGGUUCUAGUUGUCAUAAGGUCAAGGUACAACUCCGGGUCAUCCUUUUACCGAGGGACACGGCUAUUCGAAUAGAUAACUUCCCUGCAGGUGUGCACCACAUUUCCCAACACGCUCGAUCCCCUUUGUCCGGACACAAUUUCCUGGGUCAUGCCCGGCCUCGAAAGAUCAACACAUCACAUCCCUACCUAGGCACAACAGAGAGGUCAGCACGCCGUCUAAAUCCUAUGGCGCGGGGGUCUGGCCCAUCGCCCAUUGCACACCUGCAAGUUGCGUACGCGGCCGGUGAGCAGACCUAGCCUCCCUUAUACAAGAGCAGGCAUUCCAGUCCAACCCGGCGUGCGCCGCUCAGUCGCUGACAUCACGAAGGCUUCGGCAGAUACCACGACAUCGAGUGCCCAUAACUGUUCCCGCGUAGUUGGUUAGUGCAUAUAGGCCAGUGGCCAGACUCAGAUCAAAUACCCAGAUCUCGUUAAGUGUGUUAUUUUGAAGUAACAGCGGACGCCGACCAGGGCCAGGCCCACCUCUCUCCUAGGUGGUCUCAACCUGCCCUGUCGCUCCGCCACAAAGUAGCAAUUGGGGGUCGUCGGGAACCCAGGCCCACCACUACCUGGGUGGAACCACCUGCCCCUUUAGCCCCCAACAUCGGAAUCACGUGCGGGUACUCAACAAGCCGACCCGACUUUAGUCACCACAAGUAUAUUAUACUAUGUAUAUAAGUAUAUACCCAUGAUCACCUCCCAAGUGAUCACGGCCCGAUAGUAUAGCAUGGCAGACGGACAAGAAUGUAGGGUCACUGAUGAUAAACUAGCAUCAUAUACUAAGCAUUUAGGAUUGCAGGUAAGGUAUCAACAGCUGUAGCAACAAUGACAGGCUAUGCAUCAGAAUAGGAUUAACGGAAAGCAGUAACAUGCUACACUACUCUAAGGCAAGCAGUAGAGAGAAGAGUAGGCGAUAUCUGGUGAUCAAGGGGGGGGGGCUUGCCUGGUUGCUCUGGCAAGAAAGAGGGGUCAUCAACAGCGUAGUCAAUCAGGGCACCAGCAGCGGCGUCAGUCUCGUAGUCUAUCGGAGAGAAGAGGGGGAAGAAACAAUGGAUAUAAUGCAAACAGAUGCAUAGCGAUGCAUGACAUGACAAGUAGCGGUGCUGGGUGCCCUAACGCGGUAUGAGGUGAUACCGGUGAAGGGGGAAAACAUCCGGGAAAAUAUCCCCGGUGUUUCGCAUUUUUGGACAGAUGAAUUGAAGGGGGAAAGUUGCGUGUUCUCUAUGCUAGAGAUGCGUGGCGGAUGAACGGGUAGCGCAUCUGGAUACGUCUCGUCGUUCUGAGCAACUUUCAUGUACAAAGUUUUUCCAUACGAGCUACUAUUUAUUUUAUAUUGAUUUUAAUGAUUUUUAGCAUUUAUUUAAUUAUUUUAAUCCAACAUUAUCCAGAACAGUGCAUGCUGACGUCAGCAGUCAACAAAGGUUGACUGGUCAACCUGACGUGUGGGUCCCACAUGUGAGUGACACAUUUUAAUUAACCAUUUUUAGUUAACCUAACCAGGAUUAAUUAGGGAUGGGCCCCACUGUCAUUGACUACUUAUUUUGCUAAUUAACUAAUUAGGUUAAUUAAUAUUAUAAUCAAUGUUUUAAUUAUUUUUAUAAAUGUUUUAAAGUGUGGGGCCCGCAUGUCAUUGACUGCUUUAACUAAACUAACAGUAGCUAAUUUAGGUUAACUAAUCCAGAUUAAUUAAAUUAAUUAAAUAAUCAAUUAAUAUUUUAAAUUAAUCAUUUCUUAUUUAUCGUUAUUAUUUCUUACUAAGUUAUUUUUAAAAUUUUCGUUCUGGGGCGCAGGGGCCCCGCUGGCAGUGGCCCAUCUGGCCACUGGAGCGGCUAUCGGGGCCACGGGAGCGGGCCGCUCGCCCGGACGGGCACGAGCAAGAGNNNNNNNNNNNNNNNNNNNNNNNNNNNNNNNNNNNNNNNNNNNNNNNNNNNNNNNNNNNNNNNNNNNNNNNNNNNNNNNNNNNNNNNNNNNNNNNNNNNNNNNNNNNNNNNNNNNNNNNNNNNNNNNNNNNNNNNNNNNNNNNNNNNNNNNNNNNNNNNNNNNNNNNNNNNNNNNNNNNNNNNNNNNNNNNNNNNNNNNNNNNNNNNNNNNNNNNNNNNNNNNNNNNNNNNNNNNNNNNNNNNNNNNNNNNNNNNNNNNNNNNNNNNNNNNNNNNNNNNNNNNNNNNNNNNNNNNNNNNNNNNNNNNNNNNNNNNNNNNNNNNNNNNNNNNNNNNNNNNNNNNNNNNNNNNNNNNNNNNNNNNNNNNNNNNNNNNNNNNNNNNNNNNNNNNNNNNNNNNNNNNNNNNNNNNNNNNNNNNNNNNNNNNNNNNNNNNNNNNNNNNNNNNNNNNNNNNNNNNNNNNNNNNNNNNNNNNNNNNNNNNNNNNNNNNNNNNNNNNNNNNNNNNNNNNNNNNNNNNNNNNNNNNNNNNNNNNNNNNNNNNNNNNNNNNNNNNNNNNNNNNNNNNNNNNNNNNNNNNNNNNNNNNNNNNNNNNNNNNNNNNNNNNNNNNNNNNNNNNNNNNNNNNNNNNNNNNNNNNNNNNNNNNNNNNNAAUCGGGCUCCUCCCCGAUCCAGUUCCAGUCGAGUCGGAGGAAGAGAAGAGGGAGAGAGUGGGGGUCGUGGGGGAGUGGGGGUCGCUCGUUUUAGGUCACGGGGUCCCGGGGGAUAAGGAGAGGAGAGUUGGGCCGGCGGCUUGGUUGGCCCAGGGGGUGGUUACGGUGGCCAGCCGGGCCGACCAGUUGGCCGAGGCCCAAGGGUAGUGGGGGGUUUCUUUGUUUGGAACAUUUGGUUAGUGAACAUUUGGAAACCAAUGAACAUUUUUUGUUUGAAUAAAUAUUAAUUUGACUCUAUUUUAAAUUGAAUUUGAAUUCGGUUUAGAACAUAGUGAGGUUUAGAAAAAUAAUUGUGAUGACAUGGCAUCAUUAGUGAGUGGUUACUGUAGCUUAAUUAUCCGGGCGUCACAAUUCUCCUCCACUACAAGAAAUCUCGUCCCGAGAUUUAAGAGGUGGGUUAAGCGGGGAAAGACUAGGUUACGAAAGUCUAACGGAUCUUCUCGGUCUUGGUUGCUUUUCUCGAACAGGUCGAUCCAUUACAUUGACGUCUUGUUUACUUUGCUUCCAGCCAUCAUGAUGAAGUCGGCAUCCUUUCUUCGGAAAUUUCAUCGUACUUAUGAAAAGACAAGGGGUAACUUCGGAAGAACGGGCCUUACAAGGUUGACCAUCUGGCGGAUAACUCAGGGAAUGUGGUAGAAAGUAACUCUCGAAUAGGUACUUAAGAAAAUAUCGAGAGUAAAGUAAGAAGGUACCAUGAGAAGUUUCCAAUGGGCAGGCAAUCGUUGGAUGGCCUAAUCAGAAGGUGAAGGGGGUUCAGAGCAAAGAGAAUAAGUAUUGCGUCUGAUACCAUAAUAGAUCACUUGGUAGGUGGCCCAUGAAUUACAUAAGAAGUCAAGCGCGAGGAAUAACUUUGACAACAGGGUGUACAGGAGAGUCAGGUUUUGAUCCUGGGACCUGUGGGUUAUGGGCCCACCAUGUGGGUUAAAAGUAGGAAGAGCGAGGACAUCUUGCACGAUCAUGUAAGCAAGGUAUUUCAGAGGAUAGCCUAGCAGUUAUGUCGGCAACAACAUCAGUACCAAGGGCGAGGGACAAAGAGAACCAUUUUCCUGCUCGUUGAACGAGGCGGACCAAUAGGCAAAGUUCUCGUCCAUCGGUGGCUACUGGAAUGUCAUCAACAAUAGUAACAUGGUCUUCCUGACAGAAUUGUACAAUGAGGGGUUUACAUAAGCAGGAGAAUAUUACUGCUUAGAUCAUAUAGAUCACAAGAAAGGUUAAACCAAACAAGGGAAAGGAAAAUAUGAUUACGAGAUUAAAAAGAACAAUGGAAAGGAAAAAUGUGUUAAAACACAUACUCCAGGGGUAUAUCCUUCCCAAGGACAAGCAAAUCAUGAUAUCCAAGGUAGGAUAGAAAGUAGAAAACCAUUCAGGUAAUGGGAGAGGAAUUUUCAUGGCAUUAACCAUACAACGAUGUUUGGAUAAUGGUUAAAGAAAACUUAGCAUUGCGCUUUCAAUGCUCUUAUUGAAAAUCGGAGUACCAUAGACAUGCUUCGAGAUAGCAUGGACAUGGUCAACAGGUGAAGAUCAAACUUUGGAAACACAAAGGAUCCAUCAGGAAUAACUUGUAGAAUAAAUCUUACAAUUUCCUCAUGGAAGAAUGGAUAACCUUACUGAAAAGGAAACUAUAGCAAUAGGUCCUCCGGCCAGGUGUGUUAGGAAUGACAUCAUCUUACCGGGUCAUAUAAAGACCAUGUUAUAACUCUUGGAAAUAUGUUCCAACCAUUAUAUCUGACCGAGAUCCAGUUCUGAUUGGCGUUAGGAUACCACAGACUCGGGAUGCAUGACAAGAGAGGUGCAACCAAAUUGUCAAGAUGACAUUGUAAGAUUCUCGGGAGUUGAACUGCG